AGUGAACGCUGGCGGUAGGCCUAACACAUGCAAGUCGAACGGCAGCACAGUAAGAGCUUGCUCUUACGGGUGGCGAGUGGCGGACGGGUGAGGAAUACAUCGGAAUCUACUUUUUCGUGGGGGAUAACGUAGGGAAACUUACGCUAAUACCGCAUACGACCUACGGGUGAAAGCAGGGGAUCUUCGGACCUUGCGCGAUUGAAUGAGCCGAUGUCGGAUUAGCUAGUUGGCGGGGUAAAGGCCCACCAAGGCGACGAUCCGUAGCUGGUCUGAGAGGAUGAUCAGCCACACUGGAACUGAGACACGGUCCAGACUCCUACGGGAGGCAGCAGUGGGGAAUAUUGGACAAUGGGCGCAAGCCUAAUCCAGCCAUACCGCGUGGGUGAAGAAGGCCUUCGGGUUGUAAAGCCCUUUUGUUGGGAAAGAAAAGCAGCAGGUUAAUACCCCGCUGUCCUGACGGUACCCAAAGAAUAAGCACCGGCUAACUUCGUG
RNAcentral lists this ribosomal RNA (492 nucleotides) under uncultured bacterium. Its description in RNAcentral is "partial 16S ribosomal RNA". It matches the Rfam family "Bacterial small subunit ribosomal RNA", at positions 29 to 507 of the family's 1533-position model. The record is from RNAcentral.